UUUCUCUCUCUAGCCUCCCUCUUGACACAAAAUUGACAUUUCUGGCAACUCAGAACUCUACAAUCAGUACAGUUGAAGGAUCGAUUCCAAGUUCAAUUGGUGCAGUUUUGGUGUUUUGGUAAGUGUUUUCUUCUCAAAUUCUGUUUGUGUGUUAUCACAAACCCUAGUCCCUUCCCCUCUAUGUGCUAUGGAUUCAGGAUUUUAGUUUUUCAUGUUAUUUACAGUGAGUACAUACAGCUUGAAUUAUAAUUUUUUUCAUUUAUGGUAUGUUCAAUCUGUGUAAUUUUUAUGGAGAUGUCACAGGAGUCUUUCAGAUGGUACUUGAAUUGUCAAAAAGAUGAUGCCUUUGUACAACUGAGUUCUCAUCUCAUGCUCGGCGAUUAACAUGUUAGUUUUUUAGUUGAAUGUAACUGGUCCAAAUGGACAUUGAAGAUUCCGGUAGCCAAGCCCCAACUAGUUGGGGAUUGAGGUGCUAGUUGUUGUACUUCGAUUUUUUCUCAAAGUUGGACUAAAAGGUCUAGCUUUAUUUCCAUCUAAACCUGUUGCAUUCUAAUAGGAAACACCAUAAGUUUUCUAUUAUUGGUAGUUUUUAUUAUCAUUACAUGAUUUUACGUGUAGAAACGGAUUAGGAGUUGGGUCAGUAGUCCAGUUCGGAUGGAUAUAUCUGAAUGCUUUAUUCCAUAAGGAGAACUGGUGUUUGUCAAAUAUUGGAGGAAAUGGUUUCUUAUCAGUUUAGCGAGGAGCCUGUCAGUGGAUUUUAGUUCUCUCUAUUGUAUAGGAAGAUCUGGACUUCUCUUUAUUAUCAACUAGAUUCCAUUCGUUUCAUCAACGAAGGUAUCCGCGAUCUAGGAGUGAUUCCUUUAAUGGGUAAUUAUAGGAAUUCUAAGAGGUAGAGUAUGGAUUCUGCUACAUUUACAAAUUCCUCCCUACACCAAAAAGAAAACAGAAGUAUACAGUUAAACAUGAUCUGUUGGAGUGAGUUGGCUUUAUCUUCAAAAUAUUUGUUGUUCCUUCCUUUCCAAACAGACCACCAAAUGCAUGCUGGGAUCAUAUUCAACCACAAUGUCUUCUUGUUCCUCUCAUGCUUCUAUUUCAUCAAUGUAGUAAUUGUAUGGUGUCUCUUGGCAUUACCCAUAUUAGAUCUGGUAAGUUUAGGAAAAUAUGCCAAAGUUCUUAUUUUACCUUAAUGAAUCUAAAGAUGGUUUAUAGAUUUGCUUCCUCCCCACAUAUUAGGCAUCUGCUGCACUAAAGAAGCUCCUUUGCACUGAAAACCAUAUUUACAGCUUGUCAAAAAAGUAAGAAAACUGAAUCUGAAUCCUACCAGGAACCUAGGAUAUUUAUUCAGUUCUUUUAACUAACUUCUUUCUUUAAUAUUUUUAAUUAAUUAAUUAAUUUUGUUUACCAUGAUUUAAGUAAAUUUAUAUAAGGUAAAAAUAUUGUUUCUAAAGUCAUGCAUAUUAGGACUUUUAAUAUAGUUCAAAUAUGGUAAGAUUGAAGAAGCAAAAUUUUAGUCAAUUUUAAAGUACUGAAUAUUAGGAGUUCUUACCUAUUACAAAUAAGCAAAGAUUUAAUAUCUAAAACUUAAAUAAUUUUCGAAGUCCUAAAUAGUAGGAUGAUAUUUAAAUGACGAUUUUUUGAGGAAAAUAGUAAAUGACAGUUUUGUUUGUUGUAAAGUCUUUUAAUGAAGGGAAAAUAGUUAGUAUCUCUACUUUUUUGGUGCAAACAGUUGUGUAUAGUAGAUAUAGAUCAGAUUGUAGAUUUGAUAGGAAGUUUGUAAUUGUCACUUUUUGGUGGUGGCCAACAUGCCCUUAAUGCUGAAGAAUACAACCUUACCAGUUUAAAAAAAAUAAAAAUAGUUCAGAUGUGGAAGUGAAGCUUGACACACUAACUAUCCCUAAGAGAGAUAGUUUCAAGCAUCUUAGGGCUAUAAUUUAAAGAAGUGGGGACAUCGACAAAGAUGUCACACAUUGUAUUGGUGUGGCGUGGUUGAGGUGGAGGCUUGCCUCCGGAGUUUUGUGUGACAAAAAGGUUCCACUUAAGCUUAAAGGUUAGUUCUUUAGAGUGGUGGUUAGACCGAUUCUUUUGUAUGGGAUAGAGUGUAGACCAACAAGAACUAAAAAUGUUUAGAAGGUGCAUAUUAUAGAGAUGAGGUGUUGAGAUGGAUGUGUGGGCAUACUAGGAGCAAUAAGAUUAAGAAUGAGUAUAUUCGAGCAAAGGUGGGAGUGGCCUCAGUGGUGGACAAAAUGAGGGAAGUGAGGUUGAGAUUGUUUGGACAUGUGAAGAGGAGAUGCGUUGAUGCUCCAGUGAGGAGGUGUGAGAGGUUGGAUCUAGCGGGUGCGAGGAAAGGUAGAGGUAUGUUGAAAAAAUUUAGGGAGAGGUUAGUAGACAUGACAUGACACAACUCCAACUUACUGAGGAUAUGGCCUUAGAUAAGAAGGUAGGUGAGGUCGCAGAUUAGGUAGAAGGUUAAUAGAUAUUGGAGUGUUCUCUUGCUUUCCGAAGGGGUUUAGACGUAGUGGUGUCUGUCGUAGUAGUAGCUUUAUUCUUGUAGUGUCUUGCUUUUGCUUUUUACCACCAUCUAUUUUAUGUUGUUUCAAUUAUUGCAUUAUUUUUUUGUUGUUACUGUUUCCAUAGUAGUUGCUAUAUUUUCUGCUCUGUCAUUUUUCCUUUUCAUACUUUCUCAGAUUGUUGUACUCGAGUCGAGGGUUUUUCGGGAACAACCUCUCUACCUCCACGAGGUAGUGGUAAGGUCUAUGUACGCUUUACCUUCCCCAUACCCCACUUGUGGAUUUCUCUGGGUAUGUUAUUGUAGUUGUAAUCACUCUUGGAUGGGGUCCAUGUCACUUAUGCAUUUGGGUGUUGCGUUAGUCCGUGGUAAAACACAUAACUUUUUAACCCUAACUCGGAUUAAUGAGUGGUUUGUUUUUCUGGAAACUAGACUUGAAGACCUUUAAUAUGGCAUGUAGUAGACUUUCUAUCUCCUUAUAGAUUGGAUUUAUUUUUUUUUUGAUCAGGUAAACAUAUUUUCAUUCAAUAGACUGGAAGAUAUACUCGUUCCAAGUCUGUCCAUAUACAGGAUUAUUUGAAAUACUCCGACGUAAUGAAACCUUAAACUUUUGUUUCAAGGCUUCCUUUGGCCUCUAACUUCAGUCUUAUACUUCAAGUGACUUAAUAUAAGUGUUCCUUGUAUGAUUACCCAUUUGCAACUUUAUUCUCCCGAUUUCACACGGAUUUGUUGGCGAUUACGGCACACAUAUUUUAAGUUAUGGGGUAUUACAAUAAUGUCAGCUCCAUGCUUAGUGUAGAUGACAUUCCUCCAUAGAGCUUCAGUUUCAUGGUUUAACCUCCACAAUCAGUUAGUCGUGUAAGCUUCUGUUGUGUUGCCUUAGGUUCUUGAUUCCCAGUCCUCCAUCUUUUCUGCCUGUAGUGAAUUUGGUCCAUUUGACUAGGUGGAAUGUCGUUUUCUCUUUGUUGCCCUCCCAUAUAAAGUUUCUUCUUAGCUGCUCCAAUAUCUUCUUGAUCUUUGCUGGCAAGGAUAACUGGGACAUAACUUAGGUUGGCAGGGAAUCCAACACACUGUUAAUUUUGAGAACUAGGAAUUCAAAAUUGGCUGAGUAAUUGGAGCUAUAAAUCAACUUUGUUUGGAUUUUUUGAGGAAUGUAUCGAGAGACGGAGAGAGAAUUGGAUUUGGUUAGACAAUGUGUGGUUGGUAAACAAGGAGUAAUCUGUGUUUCGUUGCAAUUACAUUUUAACAAUGUUCAGUGUGAGAUGUUGGAAUUAAUAUUGUCAUUAUUGGAUAUUUGAUGAUGAAAUUUGUAACGUUGAUGUUAUGAAUAGGAAUUUUAUAUAUUUUAGGUAAUUCUGUAUUUUCUAUAAAUUCUGUGUUUCACCUCGAAGAUGUGUGUACUAUGCUUCUCGCUUAAGCCCUGCAAGGCUUGUCAUUUUUAAAAUAUUUGUUUUUGCGCUCCCUCCCUUUGAAAUACUGUUUAGGCUCUCAAAAGAUCCUCAUGAACCACAAGCUUUACCUUUCCACUGCAAUCAAGAUAUACUUUUAGUAUCUAUUAUUGUAAAUAAUUAGUUGUCCGAGAUCUCACGUCAGCACUGCUUUGAUUCCCCUAAUUACAUACCUUUUUGUGAGUCCAAAGAUCAGAGUUAUUCCUUAGACAUAGUCAGGGCUAAAGGCCAAGCAUGUUUCUCUUUUAGUGGUAAAUUUAUUUAACUAAUUAGUGGUGGAUAACAUCUACUGAUAAAAAACAAGGUUGAUCUCUUGAUGACAAUUCUUCCAUUUUUUUUUGUAUAGAAACAAUUGUAAUGUGCAUUUAGAGCAUCUAUCAACAGAAGAGAAAACUUUUCUCCUUCACAACCAAUUUAGCAAUGUGGCAAAAGGCUGCUGUGAUUACCUUACAUUAUUACGAACUAUCAAAUAGAGUUUGGUGCAAGAAAAUUUUGGUGGCUUAGGAUAAUGUUCAAACUCUUGCAGAUUAAGCACGAGUGAGGCCAAAUAUGUGAUUAUAGUUGAGUGCAAAUAUGUGAUUGCGAAAAUCUUGCAGAUUAAGCAUGAGUGAGGCCAAAUAUGUGAUUAUAGGCCAAAAAGGAAAGGCUUGCUUAAGUCAAAAGCGCUAAAAGGAGGAGAAGACUAAGGGCUUAGAAUGUGGUUCUGCUUGCUUUAAUGUGGGUUGUUUGGGGAGAGAGAAAUAGGAGAGCUUUUGAAGGAGUACAGUCGAGUUUCUCUCAGUUGAGGAGUAG
Molecule: long non-coding RNA, 4746 nt
Filed under: Solanum tuberosum (potato)
Lineage: Eukaryota; Viridiplantae; Streptophyta; Magnoliopsida; Solanales; Solanaceae
Description: long non-coding RNA (STUB_LNC006778)
Source: RNAcentral